This is a small nucleolar RNA of Camarhynchus parvulus, 72 nucleotides long. Its record names the gene SNORD63. It matches the Rfam family "Small nucleolar RNA SNORD63". Rfam says of the family: snoRNA U63 is found in both humans and mice. Lineage: Eukaryota; Metazoa; Chordata; Aves; Passeriformes; Thraupidae. The record is from Ensembl.
GUGCCAUGAUGUCAAUUGUCAACACAUCAUUCUGAAGAAGGAUUGUGUGGAGCCCUUCUGGGACUGAGCACC